UGUUUUCCGUAGGUGAACCUGCGGAAAGGAUCAUUCCCAGUCUUAU
Molecule: ribosomal RNA, 46 nt
Filed under: Pollicipes pollicipes
Lineage: Eukaryota; Metazoa; Arthropoda; Thecostraca; Pollicipedomorpha; Pollicipedidae
Description: partial 18S ribosomal RNA
Source: RNAcentral